GACGAACGCUGGCGGCGUGCUUAACACAUGCCAGUCGAACGAAGAGCGACGGAAGCUUGCUUCUAUCAAUCUUAGUGGCGAACGGGUGAGUAACGCGUAAUCAACCUGCCCUUCAGAGGGGGACAACAGUUGGAAACGACUGCUAAUACCGCAUACGAUCUAACCUCGGCAUCGAGGAUAGAUGAAAGGUGGCCUCUACAUGUAAGCUAUCACUGAAGGAGGGGAUUGCGUCUGAUUAGCUAGUUGGAGGGGGAACGGCCCCACAAGGCGAUGAUCAGUAGCCGGUCUGAGAGGAUGAACGGCCACAUUGGGACUGAGACACGGCCCAGACUCCUACGGGAGGCAGCAGUGGGGAAUCUUCCGCAAUGGACGAAAGUCUGACGGAGCAACGCCGCGUGAGUGAUGACGGCCUUCGGGUUGUAAAGCUCUGUUAAUCGGGACGAAAGGCCUUCUUGCGAAUAGUGAGAAGGAUUGACGGUACCGGAAUAGAAAGCCACGGCUAACUACGUG
RNAcentral lists this ribosomal RNA (510 nucleotides) under uncultured bacterium. Its description in RNAcentral is "partial 16S ribosomal RNA". It matches the Rfam family "Bacterial small subunit ribosomal RNA", at positions 28 to 507 of the family's 1533-position model. The record is from RNAcentral.